AGGGUUUGAUCAUGGCUCAGGAUGAACGCUGGCGGCGUGCCUAAGGUAUGCAAGUCGACCGUAUUCCGCUUGUCGGAAUUUGCGGGGCAGACGGCUGAGUAACACGUAAGAAUCUACCUUUAACUCGAGAACAAUCCCGUGAAAACGGGGCUAAUGCUCGAUAGUCCCACAUUCUGUAGUGGUUUGUGGGUAAAGCUUCGGUGGUUAAAGAGGAGCUUGCGUCCUAUCAGGUAGUUGGUGAGGUAAAGGCUCACCAAGCCUAUGACGGGUAGCUGAUCUGAGAGGAUGAUCAGCCAGACUGGGACUGAAACACGGCCCAGACUCCUACGGGAGGCAGCAAUUAGGAAUCUUGCGCAAUGGGGGGAACCCUGACGCAGCGACGCCGCGUGAAGGAUGAAGGCCUUCGGGUUGUAAACUUCUUUUAUAGGGGAACAAAGCUGAGUGUACCCUAUGAAUAAGCGCCCGCUAACUAUGUGCCAGAAGCGUCGGUGAUACAUAGGGCGCAAGCGUUAUCCGGAAUUACUGGGCGUAAAGUGAUGCGUAGGCGUUUAGGUAAGUUAUUUGUUAAAUAUCUCUGCUUAACGGAGAAAAAGCAAGUAAUACUGCUUAAAUAGAGACAGGAAGGGGAAAGGGGAAUUCCUGGUGGAGUAGUGAAAUACGUUGAUAUCAGGAGGAACACCAAGCGCGAAAGCACCUUUCUGGUCCUGUUCUGACGCUAAGGCUCGAAAGCGUGGGUAGCAAAACGGAUUAGAUACCCGUGUAGUCCACGCUGUAAACGUUCCUCGCUAGAUGUUUGUUUCAAAUUUCAGUUAUUUAACUUCGGUUAAGUACUAUUUUUGGAAUGGGUGUCGCAGUUAACGCGUUAAGCGAGGCGUCUGAGGAGUACGGCCGCAAGGCUAAAACUCAAAGGAAUUGACGGGGACCCGCACAAGCGGUGGAGCGUGUGGUUUAAUUCGAUGCAAAGCGAAGAAUCUUACCAAGGCUUGACAUCCUGCUGCGAAUCUCGAGAAAUCGAGACAUCCUUCGAGGGAGCAGGACAGGUGCUGCAUGGCUGUCGUCAGCUCGUGUCGUGAGAUGUUGGGUUAAGUCCCUUAACGAGCGCAACCCUUGUCCUUAGUUAUAAUUUCUAGGGAGACCGCCCUGCCAAAACGGGGAGGAAGGUGAGGAUGAUGUCUAGUCAUCAUAGCCCUUAUGUCUUGGGCGACACACGCGCUACAAUGGGAGAUACAAUGGGUAGCCAAGUCGUAAGGCGGAGCUAAUCCCUUAAAAUCUUUCUCAGUUCGGACUGUAGGCUGAAAUUCGCCUAUAUGAAGUCGGAAUCGCUAGUAAUCGUGGAUCAGCAUGCCACGGUGAAUACGUUCUCGGGUCUUGUACACACCGCCUGUCAUGCUAUGGAAGUCGGUAAUAUCCGAAUACUGCACUGGUUGCGGUAGAAGGUAGGAUCGGCGACUGUAGUAAAGUCGUAACAAGGUAGCC
Molecule: ribosomal RNA, 1476 nt
Filed under: uncultured organism
Description: bacterial SSU rRNA
Rfam family: Bacterial small subunit ribosomal RNA
Source: RNAcentral